AUUGUAAGACGGUGACUUUGCUUCCUUCCAUUUGGCAGAGCUGGACCUGGGUGACAGGUGUCUGGACGGGGUUCUCAGCAAUAAUCACUAUGAGUCGGACAUCCUGAAGGUAGGGGACUCCACGUACAGGCGCGGGUGGGGGCUCAGGCCUAGAAGAGGCCCCCAGGAGGCUUUCAGCUCUCCCAGUGGCUCUGACUAGUCCUGCCGCCGAGCUCACCACAUUGGUGUUUUCCCACGUGUUCCUGUCUUCCAAGAGGUUAUUUCCUUCAUGCCCAUCACGCCACGGGUCCACAGGUGUCGGCUCCGGUGCCUGUGUGCCCCACGCAGAGUUUUGGGGUCUGGGUGGGGGCCGGGGCGGCCCUUUGCUGGAACCCGGGCCUCUCUCUGGCUUCCUCUUUUCUGGCUUUGUCCUUCUCGCGUCUUAGGAAGCUGAAGCUGACGUGGCUGUUAGAAUUUCAGUGUUGAAUGUGCACAUCGUUCUCUUGGCGAGAGUUGUGCCUCUCUCCCAUGUAUGCAGCGUUGCACACGCCAGACCUGUAUGGCAGGCCCCUUGGCACCGCGUGCUCUGGUUAGAUGUCUGCGUGCUGCUCUCUUGCAGGUCCACACAAGAGAGCUGAGGCCAGGGUGUAGAUGCAAAGCCUCAGCUUCCUUACCGUGCGGUCUUGCGGCUGUUGCCACACUAGAGCCUCCCCGGCCGAGGUCGGGUGUCGCCCCGCUCCUGUGCUCGGAGCGUCUGCGAGAUUUUGGAGAGAAUGUGGUAGCUCGUGUGUUCAGCUUUCGGAAGCCAGCUUUCCUUCUGAGGCUCUGACAAAGCCAUGUGGGAAGAGAGCCCUUGCAGACUAGCUUGUGAGCGUGUUGCCGGGUCCCGGGCAUCCUGGUCCUCGUGUGUUGCGGUCCUGGAAGGCCUCACAACUGCCUGAUGCAAAUUCCUGCCGUGGUUAGCCUGCCUGUGCCGUGGCCUUGCCCGCGUUCGAGGGCCUUUCAUGAAAUGUUUGCUUUCUUGUCAUUUUAGUCUUCUGUUCUCCAAGCUAGUAUUUCUAAGAUUUCCCUUCUUUCCCCAUCCCAGAAUUACCUGGCAACCAGGGGGUUGACGUGGAAAAACAUGUUGACUGAAAGUCUCGUGGCUCUGCAGAGGGGAGUGUUCCUGCUGUCUGGUAAGCGCCAUCGUACCUGCCUUCCUUCUGUCUGGUGCGGCGGUGUGUUUGCCGUGGCCCCUCUGCCUCCACUACGGAGGAGAGCCUCCGGGCUGCCUUCCCACGUGUACGCCCUCACCCUCCACCCACCCUGGCGGUAGGUGGCAGACAGGUGCCAGUACUUCAGGAUUUGAGCCCACGUGACACAUUCUAGGCUCUUUUCUGCCGUGGGGGAGGAAGGGACACAGCUGAAGAGACUGUGACCCCACCUCUUGGCAUCUUUCGGGUCCUGGGUCCGGUGCUUCUCAAGCCCUCAGGGUCCUCGUAGGCAUUUCACUGAUGUGUUGGUGCAGGCUUGGCCUGUCUCCCAGGGGCACCCGGGACAUUGUGAAAUGUGGUUUUAGUCACUCGGGGAGGGUGCAGAAAAAUCAACAAAUGACUUUUUUUCCUAAGACAUAAAUUAUUGUGAAAGACUUCAGAGGCUUCUGGGAAUCCUUCUGAGCAGAUACGUGCUCACGAGUGUCUCGGGUUCUGUGCAGCCUCGGCCCUGGGGGCGCCCGGUCUGACAUGCGGGCCUGAGCUCUCUUUAGCUUCUUGGUGGGACUGCCAUGGUGGCAUGGCCCAGAAAGACGUGUGAGUGAAGCAUGGUGGGUAAAGCGAAAAUCACAGGGAAUCCCACCCCCGAGGACCCAGUGAUGAUGCCAUAUGGCCUGUGCACCCGCCACACGUGGGCAUGGUCAGAGUCCUCAUAGAUGAAACCCUACCACAUGUGCUCUCCACUCGGUGGUAUUCCCCAGACCCUUUCUAUGUCAGUGAAGUUCUUUACCUGGAUUGUUUUUCAAGUUUCUUUAUUUUGAGAGAGACAGAGACAGCGCAGGUUGGGGAGGGGCAGAGAGAGAGAGAGAGGGAGAAUGAGAAUCCCAAGAAUCCCAGCUCGGGGCUUGAGCUCAUGAAACCACGGGAUCAUGACCUGAGCUGCAACUGAGAGUCAGACUCUCAAUCGACUGAGCCACCCAGGCGCCCCUACCUUGAUUUUUGUUCUAUAGUAUUUUGUAUCAUGGUUUAUUUAACCAAAUCAUUAAUAUAGGAUAUUUAGGUUAUUCUCCACGUUUCACUGUCUGAAUAAGCACUGCAGCCUCUGAGCCUGCAGGAUCGUAGGCUAGAAAAGUUGUUCCAUCAAGAUAAAUUAAGUAAAUAAAUACAUGAGUAAAUAAGUAAACAGUAAGUAAGUAAAUUGUUGGACGGUGGUAUGAACAAACCAGUUGAGACUUUGCCAUAUUCGCUGUCCCUCCCAGAAGAACGUGCCUCAGCAUCUUCCUGAGCCCAUCUGCCCUGCCUUUGCCUGUAAAUACAGACAAGGCAACUGGGACGUAUCAUUGGUUUAUCUGCCUGUGUUGGGGUAUUAGCAGAAUUGAAGAUCUUUUUGCUUUAUGGUUCAUUGGCUUGUCCGUGACCUUGGCCCAUACUUACGUUAGUCUAUUUGGAUUUGGGGGCAUGGGUUGGUAGGAUAUCUUUGUCAUUUAAAGGUGCAACAUAUGGUUGCUUGUGUGGCAAAUGUGUUUUCCACUAUUUUAUUAGUAUCUCGCUUUUGUCGUAUGUGUUUCCAUUGUGGUGUUUACAUUGUAGGUAGUCAGAUUUACAGAUCCUUUCCUGUGUGCUAUUUGGUUUUUAUGACAUGAAUAGCUCAAGAGAAAAAUAAUACUCAUUCCUCUCAGUACUUUUUUGGAUUUUUAUUUUUAGUGUUACUAUUUUUUUAGAAAUGCUCUAUUUUGGGGGCUCGUGGGUGGCUCAGUUGGUUAAGCGUCCGACUUUGGCUCAGGUCAUGAUCUCGCAGUCUGCGAGUUUGCGCCCCAUGUCCGGCUCUGUGCUGACAGCUCAGAGCCCGAAGCCUGCUUCAGAUUCUGUCUCCGUCUCUCUCUGCACCUCCCCUGCUUUCAUUCUGCCUCUCUCUUUCUCUCAAAAAUAAACAUAAAAAAAAUUUUUUUUAAAUGCUCUAUUUUUUUAAGCGUAUAUAUUUACUUAGAGAACGGGAACGCAUGCUUGAGCGGGGGAAGGGGUGGAGAGAAUCCCACGCAGGCUCCACACUGCCAUCACAGAGCCCCAUGUGGGGCUUGAAUUCAUGACAUGACCUGAGCCAAAAUCCAGAGUUGGACACUUAACUGACCGAGCCACCCAGGCACCCCUACUUUUUUGGAUUUUUAAAGUGUUUGAACUUUUUAUCCAAGUGGAAUUAUUUUGCUGUGAGGAAAUAAGUUGGUAUCGAGAUUGGUUUUGUUCUUGUUUUCUGAAAGUCUGGCCCAUUGUCUCUACCCCAUUUACGGAUCAGUGCACUGGUUUCCCACUAGUUUACAAGGCCACAGCUAUUCUGCUGUUCUGGAAACAUGAUGCUGCCUGAUGACUGGCAUGCCCACAUGAGGCUGUGUCCUUCCAGAUUACAGAAUCACAGGGAACACUGUGCUCUGUUACUGCUGUGGCCUGAGAAGCUUCCGAGAGCUGACCUACCAGUAUCGGCAGAACAUUCCUGCUUCCGAGUUGCCAGGUAAGGAAGCCCCUCACCCCCUGCCUCAGUUCUGUCUAGUCUAGAUGGGCGUCUGCGCUCUCAGUGGGUGUCUGCACCAGCAGGGAGAAGACUGGGCAGAUGGGCUGCCUGGUGGCCAUGCUUAUUCCCAGGCCGUCCUCCACCCCAAGUUGGCUCAGGCUCUGGGCCCGUGGGCCGCGACACAGGUUUCUAAAACAGGAUUCACAAAAACAACCUAUAGGCAAGUGUAGUAGUCUUUAUUUCCUAAGGUGGGUUUUUAGGUAAACUUUUUUCCCCCUUGGAAGCUUGGAACAGGCAAGGAAACUAGUUAUAAAGCGUGACAAAAUGCUACAGCUGUAGUUUCUUUCUUUGGGUCUUUACUUAAGUUGGCUUAGCUGAGUUUGUGAGUGUCGGGUGUUACUACGUACAUGUGACUUUUUCUCUCCCCAGUGGCUGUAACAUCCCGUCCUGACUGCUAUUGGGGCCGCAACUGCCGCACUCAGGUGAAGGCCCACCACGCAAUGUGAGUGAGACACUGUGGGUGGGGCACAGGCACCCAGGGCUGGGGAGGGCACCAGAAUGGGCCUCCUGCAGAAAGCAGACCCUCUUUUUCCUAACAGGAAGGCGAGUUUUUUCUUUUAAGUGUUUUGGCCAAGUUGACGCCACGGCUUUUAGAGAUCUGUACGAACCAGUUAACUGCUUACUCGUAAAUAUAGUCAUUUAGUUCUGUUUGUAUACAGCCCUAGUGUUGUUUCAAAACCCUGCUCUUCUGUUCUCAUUUCGUGAAGCGUUUGCAUGCAGACGUUUACCUCUGUGUCUGUGGAACACAGCUGUCGUUCCCGCUGACACACUGGAGGGUUAGUACUUUGUGAAUCCGUGGCCGUGGUCACUGAGAACUUCCUGAACCACCGGCCUGGGCGUGUGCCGCUGCCCUGAGUCUGUGUUUGGUGCCGCGAGCACAUGUCUGUGAUAGCUCUAACUUGGCGGCUCUCACUGGGCAUUUCCCGCUCCCAGUGACGUCCGCUUUGCCACAUGGGUUCGUCUGCGGACGUAAGUUUGUCUGCAUUUUCAGACCAUACGUGAAGUGUCCUAUAAAUCAACCUCAUGGAUUGAUGCUUCUUGAGGCUACUGUGAUCCCCAGUCACUUGUGGUUCAAAUCACAGUUACUGAGAGGAUGCCCUUCUUGCAGGGGACAGGCCCCAAGUGAAGGCUCCCUGGAGGACUGAUCCCGUGGAAUAAAAACCUGGCUGUGUAUUUGAGCAUAGACAGAGUCCAGGAGACCGUUUCCUUUUAGAGAAAGAGAUUUGGCUAGUAACUAGCCAGUCUUUCUUAAUAAAGACAGGGAUAAGGAUAGCUAGGGCACGUGCGUCCUACUCUGGGGGUGACCUGCUCGUCACAAAGAGGGAGGUGGUGGCUCUGGCACCCACUGGGCAAGUCUGUUGGUUCUGCCCUGCGGGGUGGCCCUCGGUGACUGGGGGAUUCUGAGGAGGCACAACUCUGAGUCUCUUCCCUAAGAAAGUUACCUAAGGUGCUUGAAUUUUAAAAAGUAAAAAUCAAAUGUCUGACUUCUAAAACUUAAGAAGGACAAGAAGGCUGUCUAGGGGUUAAUAUCUUUGAUGGAUCAGACCCUGCUGCUGUGAGCCACCCCGCAUGUGCGGUCAGUUUCUCAUCAGGCUCCUCCAGCGUGUGAUCUCCAGAGUCCCUUAUCGGAAUGCUUCUUGAUGCUGGCUUGUGUAAUUCGACUUUUUGUCCCUGCAGGAAAUUCAAUCAUAUCUGUGAACAGACAAGGUUCAAGAACUGAGUAUCUAGGAGGCACCAAGGUGGCGUGGGGGUAGUGGAAGUCAGCGACAGCGUGUUUCAGAAAAUACCGGAUACAAACAUUUUCAGGGCAUUUUACAGCCCCCCGGCAGGGGUUUGGGGGGGCUGGGGGUCUCUACGUCCGGCACUGUAGCGUGGCUUUUUCUUCUGUGGCGUGAGACCCUCUUGCCGAGAGCCCCCUACCCCAGGGGCCUGGGAGGCUAGGGGUGGCAUGAACAGCCCCUCCUCUGGCCUUGGGGCCACCAGAGCACGUCAGCCGGAAGAACCACUGUCAGCCGCCCCCUCGCGCUCAGACAAUGACGUUCAGGUUUGCUCUUUGGACCUUUCCCAAAACUGUGGCUAAGACAGACGUCUCUCUUCAAGAAAGCUCUCAUGGGAGGAAAAGGAAAGUCUGUCAGAAACGUCCUGUUGUUGAAGGGAAAGGGGGCAAAGGCUUACAGCCUGCAGCCCUGCUUCGGGGACAGCCACGACUCGUGGGCGUUUCUAUUUGUAAGAGGUUUGGUGCUGAUCUUUUAGUAAGAUUUAUCACAAACUGUAGCACAAGUAAUAUAUAAUUUACAAAUUGACUAAAAUUGGGAUAGUAGGGUGUUUGAAGGAGUAAACAUGUGUUUCUGUUUAUUACGAAGAGGAAAAAAUCGGAUGUCCGGAACUGCUAACCCUAGAUCCCCAGUGUUAGGUGCAUGGCCCUGUCCCAGGAGGGCAUAAGGUGGGUUGUUUCCACCCUCAGCCUGCCGUGGAGCAGAGCCCUGGUGCCCGCUUCCCACUCUGUGGGCACAGCCACAGGCCCUGCUGAGCUGCCCCGUGGUCUUUCUCUGUUCCCUGCCGGGCCAGUUCAGCCCUGAGGUGCCCCAGCCCAUCUGGAGCGGCCCCUGCCCCGAGAGCGCCAGGGACCUUUGCCAGUGAGACCUUGUCUCCGUCAUUGGGUUUGCCAUGUCAUCUGGAAUAAUACUUGAAAUUUUGUUCUUUGUUAAAGAAAAAAAAAGUUUUUUAUCGUUUGUUGAAAUCAUCUGUUAUUUUUGUUUGCAAAAUUGUAACUUUUCGCUUCUUCUCAGGAAUAGGAUUUUCAACUGUUGUCUUGCUCUUGAUACAGACUCUGAGAAGCAGCGCUGUUUGUGGAAAAGGCCUCCUUCCCGCAUUCUAAUAAACAAGCCGUGUCUGUUUCUCUCCCUACGCGCUCGUCCGUGUGUUGGCUGUGAUGCGCUCCUUCCCAUCAUGGGGGACAGCCUGCCGGCGCCGCUGGUUACUGACUCCCCGCUCAUGAGAGUUGCACCUGCGGCCUCACUCACAUGAGCCAGGUGGCUGGAACGAGGCCUGCAGGUGUGGGGGACCCGGGGUCGGGGCCCAGGUCUGAGUACUUGGGAAAAGGGGAGAGGCAUAGGAUCUCUUGGAUCCACCAGCCCCAAGUGACACCCUUCUGGUCACACGUUGAAGCUGUGGCUUCGUGUCUAAGUCCUGGGCCCAGCCUGCACGGGACCGCGGCCUGCCCUCCGCAUCAGAGGGCGACGUCUCAUCACUCCCUUCUCUCCUGCAAAGUUAGAACAAAGACGUGGCUCCUUAGGGAUAUUCCAGCUCUGUUAGCCUGGGUUUAAGCCGAGGCUGUGACGUCACUUGGUCUAUAGUGGCUCCUUGUGAAGGGGAGGGGACCUGUCACGUUGGGCUGCUGGGUCCACAGUGCAGGGCUGGCUCUGCCGGAGCUUGGGCUCCUCCUUCCUAGCGAGUACAGGAGGUCGGCACAGAGCUGGCCUGCUCUGACUCGUCGGGGGAGGGGCGGGUUGGGACCAGGGCAGUUACUCUAUGGGAUGUUUUACAGACCUGGGUGGCUGUGUAUUUAUGAUGUCUUUAUGGCUCUUGUUCGUCCACACCUUCCCACCCGCCCAACAGCAGGCUCACAGUUGGGCCGGAGCCCGGCUGCGGGUGUCCUGGCACAGUCUGCUUGGGGUGAGUGGCCAGCUGGGGACUCCCAUGUGCUUGUCUCCAGGUACUCUGGCCCCGGCUGCCUGCCCCCUCCUCCUCCCACAGCCUCACUCAGCCCAUCCCCAGACUUGCGUCCCUCUGGUGCCCUGGUGCCCCCGUCAGAAGAGGGGCCAGCUCUGCCCAUAUCCCCAUCUGUGGUGCACCCUCCAAGGGGCAGCCUGUCCUGGCCUGCGGGUCCGAGUUGUGAGGGGAGGAGUUGGUCCUGUGGAGGCCUUACUGGGUGCAGCCAAGAGUCCAGCAGAGCUGACGGGGUCAGAGUCACGGGCCCAGAUGUGACAGCAGCAGAGGGAUGUCGGCAGAUUGCACCCCGGGAAGCGACCAAACCAAAGAGGAGGUGGACAGGGUUGGCAUGCAGCCCGCAGAGAGGAGGCCCCGAGAAGCCCAGCUCUGAACCCAGACGGCCGUGAGGGACACCAGCAGCAGGAAGCCAGCCUCCAGGCUGGAGGGAGAAAAUGAAUUGGGGGCUGACCGGAUUUAGAAAGCCCAGCAUAGAUCUGGCUUCAGUGUGGCUGGAUGCAGGAAACAGAACGCCACGCGGGAACCCUCGUCUCCCUCUGUUUAUGGCAGCAGCUCAGACCUCAGCCUCCAGCAAGCAGAAGCGGGUGAACUUCCCCACUGGUUCAAAUGGAAACCCACCCCUGACCUAAUCACUGUGGGCCAGACCAGAGCCUCUCGCCCACCUGGCAGUCAGCACUCAUAGGCAGGUGGGGUGGCCUCAGGCAAGAGGAAGGGGAGCAUCGAGGCUUGUCACCAGGAAGGACUGGAUGCUGGACAGCAGCUCUGGGGCUUAGACCCAGCAGGCCAGACCUCAGCCUGCCCAGGCCUGUCCCUAAUGGGAAUCGGGCUGGGUGGGUCUCAGUUACUCCCCCUGGAGAUGCCAGCUUGUUGGCGGGGGGGGGCACAUGGAGGAGCCCAGGCACACUCGUGCUGAUAUUCACGGCUCCCUACAGAAUUAAUUCCAAGGUCCCUGAUGCACUAGAGUCUAGCCCAGUCGGGCCUGUGUCGCUCUGUCCUCUCAGGGCGUUAGCAAAAGCACAGCACAGCUAAGCCAUGUGCAUUCCCUUCCUGCUGUCAGCCACUGUCCCAGCUAUUGAGAGGAGCAUGAGGGGGACUCCAUUCUGAGGGGCGGCCAGCCACACCACGAGCCACAGUGACCUACAGAAGAGCUGCCUCGCCAGCUCCCAGGAGAUAAUUGUUCUGGCCUCAGCAGUGUCGUGAGCUAGUAACCUAAACACAGCCAUUUAAAAAUCAUACAAGUUUGGAAUUCAUAAGAUAUGUUAGAAACAAAGGUAAUGAGCACUCAGGACUCCCCCCUUCCCAGUGGAUUUCCUCUGCCUGACCAUCGUGUCUCUUGUGGGUGUUUGCAUCGGUGUAUCUGCAUGGCGUAGGUUCUCUGCAAUGGUGCACAUCCCUGCCCGCCUGCCCAUUUGUGGACCUCAUUUUGGUAGCUGGAAAUUUGCCCUGUUGGGAGAGGAUUCACACCGUGGAAACUGGUAAAUGCUACAAAUCAAGGUCAUGUCAUUUUUGUUAGAACACCAGCACACCGCUGCACCCAACCAGUAUAACUGUGAGAACUAAUAUAGUUGUUUAAAGCCACUAUGUUUUGGGGUGGCUUGUUACAUAGCAAAGAAUAACAAUCUCGUGGCCCAGGAAGGCCUGGCACUGGGUGGCCCCGCCCCACCCCCAGAAAAUCUCCCCUUCUGUCCACCCCACCUACAGGGCCUUCCUAUACCCGGACCCUCUAAGAGGGACCCUGGCUGCAGAGCACAGACGGUGACCUCUUCCCAUCCCUCAGUUCAGACGCACUUCUCAGAGGGUGCUCCCUCUGGCCGGCCGUUCUGGUGUUAGCCUGCUGGGUGUCCUUCCUGGUGCCUGCAUUACCGAAAAGUAAACGUUUGCUUACUGUCUGUCUCCCCCUCCGAGAGUCCAGGGCAGGGAUCUUCCCGUCUUUUUCACUGUUGUAUGCUUGGCCAAAACAUGUGACGUGGGCAAGCAUCUCAUGGCUGCCGGCUGCCUGGUAGACCGGUGGUUGAGUGCACGGACAGAGACAAAGACGUCACUUUACUGGGCAUCUUCCCUGCGGCACGGGGGACGCUCCUUACUGUCUCUCUGUUAAGCCUUGUGUGUGCACUUCUCAUUUUUUCUCAUGUGUUUGUCUUCUUCUGAAGACGGUGAGCUUGAAACCCACCAGUGUCUUCCCACUUCUCUGGCAGACCCUUUGCAGCUUGCUCCCUCAGCCCCAUCACAGACCCCCUCCCACUCUGGAUGCGCUGAUUCCUCUCCGGGGAAAGCUCUUCUCCAGACCCUUCCAUGCCUGCCUCCUUGUCAUGCAAGUUCAGCUCAACUAUGACUUCCUCAAAGAAACCUUGGAACAUGCGGCUCUCCUUGCUGUUCCCUCGCCUGAAAUACUUCCCACGGUGACCUGCGUGUCUCCUUACUUCAUUCAUGUGUUUGCUCAAACUCAUCUGGGGGCCUUCCUAAACCAUCCGUCUAGAAAUAGCAUGCCUCCACACUGUUCCUUCACCUCGCCCUUUUCUGAACUCCUCACUUCCUGUCUUGUAUUUCUGUUGUCCGGUUCUCUGAUAGGACGUAAGUGCCUGUGAGAGCGGGGAUUGUGUACAGUGUCUAGAAUAGCGCUUGGAAUACAGUAGGCCACUUAUUAAGUGAAUGAAUGAAUGAAUGACGUGAUUAAAUGGCAGCCCCUCCCACUGACACACACCGUUUCCUUUACAGGAAUUAUGCUCUGAAGGGCUGGUCCUCCCCACACAAAUAAAGCUGGGCUGGAGCAGGGAUCCUGUCUCUCCUCCCCAGCUAACCCCCACACUUAGAACAUUGACCAGCACACCCAAGGCACUAGACUGUAUCCAUCGGCGGCUGGAUAACAAAAUAUGGUAUACCCAGACAGUCCAAUAGUAUUCAUCCGUAAAAAGGAGCAAAGCUCUGAUACAUGCUGAAACAUGAAUGAACCUCAAAACCUUAUGCUAAGUAAAAGAGAAGGCAGUCACAAAAGUCCCAUAUCGUGCGAUUCUUUUUGUCUCAAAUGCUCAGAAUAGGCCAAUCCAUAGAGACAGAAAGUAGUUAGUGGUUGUCAGGGAAAGGAGGAUUGGGGGGGAGGGGACUGCAUGUAUAUGGACUAGCGGGAUCUUGUGGGGGUUAUGGAAAUGUUUUAUAACUGCAUUGCAGUAAAUCCAGUUUUAUUUAAAAUUUAAUAGGGGCACCGGGGUGGCUCAGUCGGUUGAGCGUGCAGCUUUGGCUCAGGUCAUGAUCUCAUGGUUUGUGAGUUCGAGCCCCGCGUCGGGCUCUGUGCUGACAGCUCAGAGCCUGGAGCCUGUUUCAGAUUCCGUGUCUCCCUCUCUCUCUGCUCCUCCCCUGCUUGUGCGCGCGCUCUCUCUCUCUCUCUCUCUCAAAAAUAAAUAAACAUUAAAAUAAAAUAAAAUUUAGUAAAUGUAACUGUAAACUUAAAAAUUGAAUUGUAUACAUAAAACGGGUAAAUUACAUUGUAAGUAAAUAGUACCUUAAUAAAACUUAAAAUUUUUUACUUAGAUUAGCAUUUUUUUUCCCCUGUGCAGAUAUGCCAGCUAUAUAUAGGCUCAUUUGUAUUUACAUUUCGUGUCGUUACAUGUUACUUGCUGAUUUGUUUCUCCAGUUUCCCCCAUUGGCUGCACCUUGCAUAGCUGUAGUAUAAUCUCAAAACCAGGAAACAUGUUAGCCCAAAGUUUGUACGCCUCAGGAUGCAGAACUGCUCUCACCACAAAGACCUCUCCCCUGCCUCGCUUUAGCUACCCCCACCCCCACCAUUCCUUGGCAACCACUAAUCUGCUUUCCAUCUCUAUAAUCAUUAUCAUUUCACAAAUGUUAUGGAUGCGAAAGCAUGUAAUAAAGUAUACUUAUUUUGAGAUUUUUUCCACUCAGCAUGAUGCCUUGGUGAUUCAUCUAAGUGGUUGCAAUGUAUCAGUCAGUAGUCCUUUUUUAUUGAGGAAGAGGCCCCAUGAUUGGAUGCACCACAGUUUAACCAUUUAUCCAUUGUAGGAUUGGUUGAAUUUUGGUUGUUUCCAGUUUGAGCUUUGAUUACAAAUAAAACUGUGGUGAACAAUAGUGUCCAGGUUUUUGUGUGGACUUAAGUUUCCUUUGUCUGAGCUAAAUAUCCAGGAGUGCAGUUGCUGGGUCACACAAUUAAGUUAUAAGGAAAAUUGCCAAGCUGUAUUACAGAGUGUCUGUACCAUUUUAUAGUCCCACCAGCAAUGUAUAGUGUAUAGUGUGUAGUUUCUCCACAUCAUUGCCAGCAUUUGGUACUGCUACUAUUUGUUUUAGCCACUUUGAUAGAUGUGUGUAGUCUUGAGGCGGUCUUAAUUUGCAUUUUAUAAUGGCUAGUGAUGUUGAACAUCUUUCACAAGUUUAUUUACCAUCUAUAUAUCCUUGUUGGUGAAAUGCCGCUUCAUAUAUUGGCCUACCUUCUAACUGCAUUUUUUUUUAAGUUUUGGGAAUUCUAAUAUAUUCUAGGUAUCAGUCCUUUAUCAAAUACAUGGUUUGCAAAUAUUUUUAAUUAUCUGUAGUUUGUUUUUUCAUCCUUUUAGUGGAAUUUUUCUCAACACAAAUGUUUUUAAUUUGGGUGAAAUUCAAUUUAUUCUUUUUGUUCUUUUGUGGAUUGUGCUUUCAUGGUAUCAUGUCUAAGAACUCUUCACCAAGCCCUUAGUCCUGAAGUUUUUCUUGUUUUCUUAUAAAAGUUUUAUAGUUUCACACAUUUCUGCACGUAAGUCCAUGAUCAUUUUGAGUUACAUUUUGCAUUUGCAGAUGACAUGAUGGUCUAUGUAGAAGAUUCCAAGGAAUUUAUAGAAAAAAAAAAAAAAAAACCUCCUAGAACUAAAAAGUGAGUUCAGCAAGUUCUCAGGAUACAAGAUCAACACACACAGAAUUUAAUCACAUUCUAUACACUAACAAUGUGCAUGUGGAAACUAAACUUUAAAGCAAUACCAUUUACAAUUACUACAAAGAAAAUUAAGCACUUCGGCAUAAAUUUAACAAAACACAUACAGGAGCUGUAUGCUGAAAAUUACAAAAUGUUGAUGGAAGAUAUCAGAAAAGACCUAAAAAGACAGAGAGAUAUACCAUGUUCAUGGAUUGAAAGCCUCAACAUAGUUCCACAGCUGGGGAACCUGGCUGGCUCAGUGGGUAGAGUGUGUGACUCUUAAUCUCAGGGUUGUGAUUUCAAGCCCCACAUUGGGUGUGAAGCCUACUUAAAGAAGAAACAUAGCAAAGAUGUCAAUUCUCCCCAAAUUGAUCUAUAAUUUCAAUGCAUUUCCUAUCAAAAUCCCAAGAUGGAUUUUUAUAGACAUAGACAAGUUUAUACUAAAAUUUAUGUGGAAGGGUAUGAUUUCCCAAAUACCUAGAACAAACCAUGAAAAAGAGCAAAUCAGGAGGAUUCCCCUACCCAGUAUCAGGGCUUGCUGUAAGACUACUGGUGGAGACCGUCAUGUAGGCAGAGGGAUCAACAGAGAUCAACGGAAAAGAGCAGAGAACCCAGAAACACCCACAAAAGCAGCUAAUUGAUUUUUGACAAGUGUGCAAAAGCAAGUUUUUAAAAAAAUAUUUUUGAAAGAGAGACAGAGUGCAAGCAGUGGAGGGGCAGAGAGAGAGGGAGACACAGAAUCUGAAACAGGCUCCAGGCUCUAAGCUGUCCCACAGAACUGGAUGCAGGGCUCAAACCCAUGAACCAUGAGAUCAUGACCUGAGCGGAAGCCUGACACUUAACGGACUGAGCCACCCAGGCAUCCCUGCAAAAGCAAGUUAAUGGAAGAGAGAGAUUUUUUUUUUUCUUCAACAAACGAUGCUGAAACAAAGUUUUGGGUUUUUUUUUUCAAUAAACGGUGCUGAAACAAUUUUCCCAGAGGCAAAAUGAAUGAAUGAAUGAAUGAAUGAAUGAAUGAAUAGGAGAAAACCUUCAUUUAUACACCAACGAUGUUUGUUUUUGAACGGGUAAGACGUUGCUAUGGCUCCAAAGCAGGAGUCACUUGCAUUGGCACCUGAAAGACAAAUGAGUACUUGCGCGUGGGAGGUGGGGGUUCGCCCUUCGUGGGCUCUGCGGAGAGCAGCCUCAGCGCCCACCCCUCCUGGCGGCUGGGCCCUUUGCUCCCUUGGGCCUCCUAGCCACGCCCCCAGCGGGGCCGGGGCGGGGUGAGGGUGACCACGCCCUCAGCCUGACAGAUUGGGCGGGACAGGGCGGGGACCGGAGUCUUGGCCACGCCACUUCCGUAGGAAGUUCGUUUGUCUAGCUUCCGGUCGGAGGUUGUCUUGCAAAUCCCGAACGUGUGUUUCCACAAGGGAGACAGCCCCAAACUCACUUUCUGAAACCUGCCUCGCGUCGGAUGUGAGUGGGCUCGAGUCCGACACUGCGGUCGGGGCAGCCCGGCCCGAGGGCAGCUGUUGGCAAGUACGGGACGGUCUGUCUUCCGGAACGGAGGCGGCGCGCACAGGCUGUUUCCGGAGGGUCCUAGCCCGUCGCUGCGCCGCGCCCCGCCCCUCGCGCGGCCACGUCUCCGUCGGAGCAGUCCGGCCGGCGGCCGCCUAGGCUUCCGCAGCGCCGGGUGAGGGUCGCGGGGAGGCGCCCGGCCCGGGAGCCCGGCCCGGGAAGGGCGCAGGAGCGCCGGGGGGCCGCGGCACGGUCGGGCGGAGGCCAGGCGGCGGGCGAGGGGUGACGGGGCCUGGGCGGCCGCGGAGGGUGACCGUGGCUCCACCUGGAGCGGCUCCGCCCCGCGUGGGUCCUGCAACUCACCGUUGGUAGCCUCGGGGCCUGGAAGCCGGCCUGUGCAGCUGUUAGCGGUACUGGCUUCGGAGAUGGGCGCACAGCAAGCCGUUCGGAAGCGCUGUCUGCGCGUAACGGGGCGUGAUCUAGUGGAGCUACCCACAGCUGCCCAGCAGCUGCACCAGAGUGACAGCCUCUGGCCUUUUGCAGAAGUUCUGCCAGGAUGACACACGUGACACGGGGUCGGGACAUUCGUGCGGAGUUGGGUUUAGAGUCCGCGUAGCUGCUUGCCUCUCCUUCGGCCUCGAUUCCAUUUAGCUUCUGGGUGCCUAGAGGGGCUUCACCCUUGCAGUGAUAUUUCCUAGAGGAGCCGGGCCAGGCACGGUCACUAGUGUGGAGCAGGUGAACAGCUCGGCCUCAUCCAACAGAUAGUUGCUGAGUGUGAGUCGUGUGACAGGCACUGUUGAUUGUGGGUCCUGGGACACGUGGGUGGAGUUGUGCGGGAUCCCUGCCCUCCCUGAACUCACAUUCUAGUGGAGCGAUGGGGACAGUGAAUGAAGAAGUAGUAUGGGGUGUUGCUUGGCGUGGGUCUGUGGGAAGGCCCGUGGGGAGGCCAAGGCCUCUAUGACCAGCAGCCAGUCAUGGAAAACUGUGGGAUGAGAGUGUUUCAGGCAGAGUGAGCAGCAGUGUGAUGACCCUGAGGGACGACGAGUGACUUUGGUAAAGAAGUAGUGUGUCAAGGGCGUAACGAAAAAGGAGGAAAGUGGCGGGGUGGAGGAUGCAGUGUAGGGAGGAGCCAGAUGGUAUGCGGCUUCCUGGUUCAGGGUAAGAGGUUUGGGUUCUUGACAGUGUGAUUGAAAACUACUGAGACCUAGUAAACCAUGUACAGGUGACUCAUGCAUUUAAUUUUUUUUAAAUUGUUCCUUUAUUGCCAGCAUAACCCUUUCCUGGAGAAGUAGCUUUCAGUUAACAUACCUCGAAUGGCAAGAAAAGAAAAGAAAACUCAUCUGACAUUACUCAGAUUCAAAAGUAGCUUUUUUUUUUCCUUUUCUUUCUUUCUUUUUUUUUUUUUUUGGCCAGUUGCCUUUAGCAGUGUGCAUUCCUAAGUGAGAAUAUCUUCUAAUUGACUUUACUAUCAAUUUUGACGAGCAACAACUGAAGGGAAAAUAACACAUAAUUACAGCUACCAUUUAUUGAGGGCAUGGGACAGACCCUGUGCCUUGUUGCAUUUAAUCCUGGCAAAACUUUGUAUUCUGUUUCUCAUCAUGUUCCUGAUGAGGAAACUGGCUAAGAGUGGUUAUGAAACAUGCCCAUGACCUUACAGCCGGGGGUGGAGGAGUCAGGACUGAUGCUGGAGCCUGCGCUUUACGUGGCAUUGCUGUACAGGGACAGAGGCCUGCCGGCUUUUCACUUUGUGUGUCAGUCCCUGUUUACUUGUGUACUUGUGGUUACUAGCGUGGCCUCAACUAGGUGCUGUCUUCUUACGGAAAUCCUGUUUUAUCUUUGGCCUUGCCGUUUGUUUCCAAUUGCCAGUAGAAAAAAUAAGGGGGGGUAGAUGGAGCUGUUCGCGUGUGUAUCGAAAUCAUGGGAAGUUGAAGUCCUAUAUGUGCCUGAGACGAUUUUCUUGGCAUGAAGUCCUUUGAUGCAGAUGGCGUGAAUUUAGAGUUAUGAGCAUUUUGUGAAGUUGUGAUAACUGUCUCUUCCCUCCAGGAAACACGGCAGAAUGCAGGUAGUCAAAAAUGGUAAUGUGAUAAAACUGAUAUUAAAAAAAUUUUUUUUAGUCACGAAUUAGGGGGCACCUGGGUGGCUCAGUCGGUUAAGCAUCCAGCUCUUAAAAUGUAUGUGUAUGUAUGUAUAUAUAUGUGAAAAAAAUUUUUAAUGUUUAUUUUUUAAUGCUUUUUUAUUUAUUUUUUGAAGGAGAGAGAGAGAGAGAGAGAGACAGAGCUUGAGCGGGGGAGGAGCAGAGAGAGAAGGAGACAGAAUCCGAAGCAGACUCCAGGCUCUGAGCUGUCAGCACAGAGCCCGAUGCGGGGCUCAAACUCAACGAACUGUGAGAUUAGACCUGAGCCUAAGUCAGACGCUUAACCAACUGAGCCACCCAGGCACCCCCCUAUAUACGUAUUUUAAUGUUUGUUUAUUUUUGAGAGGGAGACAGAGAGCAAGCAGGGAAGGGGCAGAGAGAGAGGGAGACACAGAAUCCAAAGCAGACUCCAGGCUCCGAGCUGUCGGCACAGAGCCUGACGUGGGGCUCGAGGUCACCACCCUUGAGAUAAUGACCUGAGCUGAAGUAGCAUCCGACUGCUGAUCUCAGCUUAGGUCUUGACCCUGAGGUCAUGCGUUUGAUCCCCAUGUUGGGCUCCACACUGGGCGUGAAGCCUACUUAAAAAAAAAAAAUCACGAAUUGGAAUUCAUGUUCCUAAUAACCGCUUCCUUGGGAUGUGCUCCUAGAAGUCUGACCCUUCUCUCUGCCCUGUUUUUGUGAGCACUGAGGUAGUGAGACCCUGACCGACUGAGUGCUGCUAAGUAAAGUAUACUGGAGCCUGAGGACAGACACAGAAUGCCAGCUUAUUACCUACAGGGAGAUGUCACUUCAGCGGAGGCUGCUCUGGGCCUUCAGUGAGUUGUGUUGUCCGGCUCCAGGAGGAGCUGCGUGUGCAUGGGAGCCGUGUUUAUGAGUCGCCAGAACGUGUCACAGUCCCAGGGUCUCAUGCUGUGGAGGGCUGCAUCGUCCACCUCUGGAGCGGCGUAGGACCUCUUGGGACUCAGCAGGGUUUUUUGUUUAGCAAGAAGUUCACAUAAAGGGCAUUAAGUGAGUGGAGUACGUGAUGGCACUGGGCUCAGACAGCCUGGCGCGUUCGUCUCCGUGUUUGCUUCAUCAGUGGAACGAGCAUCUCAGCGGACCUCCUCUUGCCUGGGUCCGGCAUCGUCACGGCCUCAGGCCAUUCUCCUCAGCAGCUGCUUGGCUGCCCCUGUGCCUUCCCUGCUCUGCUGGGCCGUGUUAUGUGUCCAGCAGAUGAAGGAAGUCCGGCUAGCUGCCUGCUCGGGUUCUUACCCAGGGGACAUUGCUUAUCUGGGGUGUGGCCACUACCUGCUGCUCUCCCAGGGGCAUUCUUUGUCUCAUUGGAACGGUAGCUUCCGAGGGGUUUUAGUUGGAAUAGUCAGAGUUGUUCUGUAUUUGAAAAGGCAGUGUUGAUGCUCAGGAUGCAAACACUGUAUUGUUCUGGAACCACUAGCUUGGUUGCUAAGGGGUGGAACUUGGUAGGGCCAAAGAUUGAAGUUACUAGCCUGUGUCGAGAGCGUCACUCGGAGUGGGGGAUGUUCGAGGGGGAAGGGCCGACUGGGAGCGGUCGUUUCUGCUUCCGGGCCUCUUGCUGCGUGGAGGAGAGGCACACACACCCUUCUGCAGUGAGCUUGCACACGGGGUGUCUUGGUGGCAGAAGGGAGUGGGCCGGGCACUUUACCUGAGGCCCCGCAGGACUUCGGAGCAAUGUCUAAUGGUGGAUGUGGAAGGGCCCUUGGGGAUUUGCCUGGUGGUCAAGGGGAAGGGGCCCCCACGGCAGAGGGACCAGCUUCUGCCUGAGCAGCACCCACCUGUCAUUGUUGCCCUUGCAGGCACCAUCGCCCCUGCCCCCACGGGGCGGGGGCAAAGACAUCGCAAAGCAAAAUGCAAACAUUUUCUUCUGCUAAGGGACUUGCGAGGAGGGCCAGCACAUACAGCGUGCCCUGCACAGUGACCUCUGAUCCCACGUUCCACUGUAUGUGUUGGUACCCAUUCUUGAAGCGGCAAGCCUGUGAUGAAGGGGACGGUCUGGCUGGCCUUUUGCUGACGUGCCUCGCCUUGCUUUGUGGGCGUCUUACCUAAGGAUCAGCUGUCUGCAGUAGCCAGGGGAAGGCCUGGUGGACAGUAUUUGCCAUGGAGCCAGGACCCUGUGGAACAGUGAUUUUUGGAGGGGCCUGUAGGAUGUGCAGGGACAGGUGUGGAGCCUCCAAGAGCUCGUGUGUCUAUCCCCCCGCCCUGGGAAGUCUUUGAGGAUGAAAGAGGGUACUGAUUACUGUAGAGACAAAAACAGCAUAGAGAACUCAUUGCAGACAGGAUCAUCGGCCAGCCUCAGUAGCUCCCUUCAUUUCUGUGAUCCGGAAUUUGGUUCAGUCUUCAAAUAUGUGCACAAACGAGCCACGGAGCCACACUGGCAGCCAGCGCUUUUCAGUUAGCUGGUUGGUAUGCAUUCUAUCAGUGGUCCUUUCUAGUACAACCCUCGUGCUGGUUCUACGCGUGGCGCUAGACUGACCUUUUCAUCUUCUACCGCACGAUUACUCAGCCAUAGCAUCUUUGGCCUAUAGGUGCCAGACAGCAGAGUGGAACGUGUGCAUUCUUAGAGCUGCUAGCCAGACACUCGUGGGUUUACACGGGGGAUGCUGCCGCCACUAGUCACUCGAUGCCUGGGUGUGCCAGGCUAUGUAGACCACCAGUGGGUGCUUCUUCCUGGGGGACGGCAGGAGAGGACUGUGGCAGGAGAGGCACACCUGCCUUCUGCUGUUGAGUCAGCACCAGCCCCUCCGUGUGUGGGCCACUGCUCAGGCUCUUGUCUGAGAUGUCUGUGUGGGAUUUGUAAGCCGCAGAGGAAAGUCAUGUAACUUUUUGUCCUGAAGCUUGUGAGACACAGAACAGUAUGUAGGAUGACGUGAAACUUACCAUAUAGGGAGUAAAUGCCAGCAUCUCUGCAGAAUGGAUAGUGGCUCACACCUUCCCUGCUGACGAGGAACAGGUUAUGAAUAUCCUCAGUACACUUCAAAAAUGGUAACCAGUUGCCAAACCUGGGGCAAAGUUUUGCUCCCUUGAACUUAGCCUAGCAGGUUGGGCUAAAAGCUAAUCCUGACAGAAAUGAAGGACGAAACUGAUCACCUGCCCCGAGAUGCCUUCUCUGGACCCCGAUUCCACGUCCUCAUCUCUCUGUGCUUCCCCUGACACAGCGUAGGGUUGUCAUGUUCCGUGAACUUCGCCACCAUGCCAGGCCUGGGAGGGGAGCUUGCCCUGUGAGUGCUCGGGCCCACGGGUCCAGGGCAGAAGUCACUGGCCACACGUGGCUAUUUAACUCAGAUUUCUUAAAUUUAAACAAGUAGCUUAAUUCCUCAGCCUCCCAAGGCCUGUCCCUGCGAGGGGCUACACGUGGGGCUCAGGUCCGGUUACAGAGUGGCUCUGCCCUGGCGGGCCGGCAUUAGCCAGCUGGUUCCCUUCAGGAACGGGCCGCGGUGUGGUGGGUCAGCACUUUACCCUCAAACCUAGCAUAUUGUAGGUACUCAGGAGUUAUCUGUUGAAUGAAUAAACCUGUUUAUUACAUGGAUGUGAAUCGGGAGCCAAAUGUUAGUCUUGCAAUUGUUACUUCAAAUCUGACAAAUGAGGUUUCAUGAUACCUUCUUUCUCUUUUCCCUCCUGUCAGGUAUCAUGAUGUUAUUGGGUUUGAUUUCAAGCCACUUAUGAGACUGGACGUCUUCCCAAAAUGGACGGCCUAGUGCGGGUCUUCCCAGGAGCUCCGGGCUGCUGCUAAUGGCCGAGACCGA
This 19741-nucleotide long non-coding RNA is filed under the name Lynx pardinus (Iberian lynx). The stretch from base 12595 to 12667 matches the Rfam family "tRNA". The record is from RNAcentral. Lineage: Eukaryota; Metazoa; Chordata; Mammalia; Carnivora; Felidae.